Aricia agestis (brown argus) is the source of this 159-nucleotide long non-coding RNA. RefSeq lists it as uncharacterized. Lineage: Eukaryota; Metazoa; Arthropoda; Insecta; Lepidoptera; Lycaenidae. The transcript has 3 exons. The record is from RefSeq and is a predicted model, not a curated record.
UUAAAAAGUGAUAGAAUUUGUUUAAGUUAGGGUCAGUAUAGUUAGGCUGUGUAGAUUUAGAAGCUUGACUCUACAUGAGAUCUCAUAUCUUUUUCACAGGGUAAACCGUAAACCUAAUAUGUGGUCCUCUCGGCAAUAUUUUACAAGAAAUGUUUUUGG